CCGGCACGGGUGAGUAACACGUAUGCAAUCCGCCUGUAACAGGGGGAUAACCCGGAGAAAUCCGGACUAAUACCCCAUAAUAUGGGCGCUCCGCAUGGAGAGCCCAUUAAAGAGAGCAAUUUUGGUUACAGACGAGCAUGCGCUCCAUUAGCCAGUUGGCGGGGUAACGGCCCACCAAAGCGACGAUGGAUAGGGGUUCUGAGAGGAAGGUCCCCCACAUUGGAACUGAGACACGGUCCAA
This 241-nucleotide ribosomal RNA is filed under the name uncultured bacterium. RNAcentral's name for it is "partial 16S ribosomal RNA". It matches the Rfam family "Bacterial small subunit ribosomal RNA", at positions 100 to 334 of the family's 1533-position model. The record is from RNAcentral.